RNAcentral lists this ribosomal RNA (466 nucleotides) under uncultured bacterium. RNAcentral's name for it is "partial 16S ribosomal RNA". It matches the Rfam family "Bacterial small subunit ribosomal RNA", at positions 28 to 507 of the family's 1533-position model. The record is from RNAcentral.
GACGAACGCUGGCGGCGCGCCUAACACAUGCAAGUCGAACGAGCGAGAGAGAGCUUGCUUUCUCAAGCGAGUGGCGAACGGGUGAGUAACGCGUGAGGAACCUGCCUCAAAGAGGGGGACAACAGUUGGAAACGACUGCUAAUACCGCAUAAGCCCACAGGUCGGCAUCGACCAGAGGGAAAAGGAGCAAUCCGCUUUGAGAUGGCCUCGCGUCCGAUUAGCUAGUUGGUGAGGUAACGGCCCACCAAGGCAACGAUCGGUAGCCGGACUGAGAGGUUGAACGGCCACAUUGGGACUGAGGCACGGCCCAGACUCCUACGGGAGGCAGCAGUGGGGAAUAUUGCACAAUGGGGGAAACCCUGAUGCAGCGACGCCGCGUGGAGGAAGAAGGUCUUCGGAUUGUAAACUCCUGUUGUUGAGGAAGAUAAUGACGGUACUCAACAAGGAAGUGACGGCUAACUACGUG